UACGGAAGGGGCAAGCGUUUGUUCGGAAUCAUUGGGCGUAAAGGGCGCGUAGGUGGUUCUGUAUGUCUAUCGUGAAAGCAUACAGCUCAACUGUAUUUUGUCGGUAGAAACUGCAGGACUUGAGGCUGGGAGGGGCUGGUGGAAUUCCCUGUGUAGCGGUGAAAUGCGUAGAGAUGGGGGAGAACACUCGUGGCGAAGGCGGCCAGCUAGACCAGUUCUGACACUGAGGCGCGACAGCGUGGGGAGCAAACAGG
This 254-nucleotide ribosomal RNA is filed under the name uncultured bacterium. Its description in RNAcentral is "partial 16S ribosomal RNA". It matches the Rfam family "Bacterial small subunit ribosomal RNA", at positions 524 to 776 of the family's 1533-position model. The record is from RNAcentral.